AAGCAUUGCUGACGGCUGUGUUACUGGUGUGUAAAACCAACAGGGAGCUGAAUGCUGAAAGCUCACAGAAGCCCUGCAGAGCUCAGCAACCCAGGGUAAAACAGUCUGUCUGUCCUUUAAAUGCACAGUGAAGUGUCAUUUCACAUCAAAUCUUUGUCCAGUGGCAGGGUAAUGUGAUGUUCACUGAAAGGAUAAGAAGGCUUGACAAGCUUCAGAUCACCAAAAUGGUUCAGACAUCUUCUGGCAACGGUAGUCAUGGAACUAUCUGCUUCUUACUAAAGAUGUGACAGAGUUGAGGAAGCCAGCGGGAUUCUGCUCAUGAUGCUUCCUAAAGUUGUAGUGGUCUGGCUCCUGAGGUGAGGAGGAUGGAAUGGAAAACGCACUGG
Long non-coding RNA from Centrocercus urophasianus (Greater sage-grouse), 386 nucleotides. RefSeq lists it as uncharacterized. The record is from RefSeq and is a predicted model, not a curated record. Lineage: Eukaryota; Metazoa; Chordata; Aves; Galliformes; Phasianidae. The transcript has 4 exons.